AGCUUCAGGAUGUUGACAGUGUGACGUUUGUUUUGGUGCAGCAGCAGCAGCACGAGUGUACAGUUUUAAACACAUAAACUGAAGAUGACAGCUCAGUGACAGUGUUUUAGUGUUAAUAAACAACAUUUGAUGUAGUCCGACAACUAAAAGAACCACAACACGCUGAGAUAAAGGACAGAAAUGCAGUGAAAAGCGACUCACCUAGAUUGAGGGAUGUGUUUGGACCGUACAGUCAACAGAAGCAGAGCUCCAGGACGUUUGGACUACGUUUUCUGGCGUGAUGGACGUCUUCUGCGGACAGGCAAACGCUCAUCCACUGCACCCUUGAGCAUGACGUUGUGUUUGGUCCUGCUUUUGAAUGAAGAAUAGCUGUGGAAAUGGGAUUCAAAACCAAAGGUUACUGAUGUGAAGAUAAAACAGGUUUCGAAAAUCUGCCCAUGUGGGAUUUGAACCCUGUCUUACUGAUUCAAUGGCAAAUGAUUUGCCUCUGCGCCACUGAGCUUCUGAUAACCUGUUCGUUUUAAUUCAGGCUAAAGAAUUAUGUCAAGAAAACCCAGAAAUCAGCAGCAGCAGGUGUUUUCAAUUAAGGUUUUUUUUUUAAUCCAUAGUCAUUAUUGCACUCUUUGGGGCACUCAAGCUCUCUUGUUAA
RNAcentral lists this long non-coding RNA (649 nucleotides) under Danio rerio (zebrafish). RNAcentral describes it as "si:dkey-115f9.2 (ENSDARG00000093427.3)". The record is from RNAcentral. Lineage: Eukaryota; Metazoa; Chordata; Actinopteri; Cypriniformes; Danionidae.